AGAAUCAACGCUGGCGGCGUGCCUAACACAUGCAAGUCGAACGAGAAAGGGUAGCAAUACCUGAGUAAAGUGGCGCACGGGUGAGUAACACGUGACUAACCUACCCUGGAGUGGGGGAUAACUGAGGGAAACCUUAGCUAAUACCGCAUAAUACCUACGGGUCAAAGGAGCAAUUCGCUUCAGGAGGGGGUCGCGGCCGAUUAGUUAGUUGGCGGGGUAAUGGCCCACCAAGACGAUGAUCGGUAUCCGGCCUGAGAGGGCGCACGGACACACUGGAACUGAAACACGGUCCAGACUCCUACGGGAGGCAGCAGUGGGGAAUUUUGCGCAAUGGGGGAAACCCUGACGCAGCAACGCCGCGUGGAGGAUGAAGUCCUUCGGGACGUAAACUCCUUUCGAUCGGGACGAUUAUGACGGUACCGGAAGAAGAAGCCCCGGCUAACUCUGCGCCAGCAGCCGC
This 460-nucleotide ribosomal RNA is filed under the name uncultured bacterium. Its description in RNAcentral is "SSU rRNA". It matches the Rfam family "Bacterial small subunit ribosomal RNA", at positions 26 to 518 of the family's 1533-position model. The record is from RNAcentral.